AGAGCCAUAUUAUGUCCUUGUGAUUCUGUUAAUUAUUACCUGUCUGUAUUAUGUUGCAGCUCAGCUGAUGUUGGAUUGAUGGCAAAGGGAGAGGGACUUAAGUGAGAGUGAAAACACAAGCACAAGAACCCCAGGGGGAUUCAAUGGAGCCUGAAGACCUGCAAUGAGACCCUCACCCUGAGCCUGAGUCUCAGCUCUCAGAGCUUUGCAAGCCUCUCCCUGUUCCUUAUUUUGAUUAAACAGACAUUAAGCUUCC
Molecule: long non-coding RNA, 256 nt
Organism: Gymnodraco acuticeps
Lineage: Eukaryota; Metazoa; Chordata; Actinopteri; Perciformes; Bathydraconidae
Exons: 2
Source: RefSeq, a predicted model, not a curated record